Molecule: long non-coding RNA, 466 nt
Filed under: Vigna radiata
Lineage: Eukaryota; Viridiplantae; Streptophyta; Magnoliopsida; Fabales; Fabaceae
Description: long non-coding RNA (VRAD_LNC017707)
Source: RNAcentral
UAAAUGGUAAGACCAAGUAUCGUUUUCCCAAGAGACUCGAAAGGCUUUCUCGUUCACGUGAAUUAAAAUAAUAAGACUUGAAAAUAGAAAUUAAUAAAUUGGAUUUAAGAACAAAAAUAUUAACAUGCAAAAAUAAAGUUGAUUCAAUUGACAAAAGAAAACAAUGGAUGAAUGGAUAUUGUUGGGGGUUUACAAUUUCAUCUAAUCCUCUCUCUCUUAUCUACUCCUCUUGAAUAUUAGUUUGAUCAAUUAAUUGUUAUGCGACUUUCUAAGCCUACCCUUAACCUGAUCCCUCGGCGAAAAGAGCCUAAUAUUAACUACUGGCUUGCAAUCCCUAGCCUCCCCUAGUAAUUAAUACCGCAUUAUAAAUAGAAGUUAACGCAAUUGAUCGUCCUACCCCUAUCCCUAGGUGGUAUUGCAAAAUCAAGAAAUUACUUACCAGUUCAUGUCAUUACUGUACGUCCCC